AUUGAACGCUGGCGGAAUGCUUUACACAUGCAAGUCGAACGGCAGCACGGGUGCUUGCACCUGGUGGCGAGUGGCGAACGGGUGAGUAAUACAUCGGAACGUACCCUGACGUGGGGGAUAACACAGCGACAGUUGUGCUAAUACCGCAUACGUCCUGAGGGAGAAAGCGGGGGAUCGCAAGAACUCGCGCGUUAGGAGCGGCCGAUGGCGGAUUAGCUAGUUGGUGGGGUAAAGGCUCACCAAGGCGACGAUCCGUAGCUGGGCUGAGAGGACGACCAGCCCCACUGGAACUGAGACACGGUCCAGGCUCCUACGGGAGGCAGCAGUGGGGAAUUUUGGACAAUGGGCGAAAGCCUGAUCCAGCCAUUCCGCGCGAGUGAAGAAGGCCUUCGGGUUGUAAAGCUCUUUCGGCAGGAACGAAACGGUGUGGGCCAAUACCCUGCAUCAAUGACGGUACCUGAAGAAGAAGCACCGGCUAACUACGUGCCAGCCGCCGCAGUAA
This 502-nucleotide ribosomal RNA is filed under the name uncultured bacterium. Its description in RNAcentral is "partial 16S ribosomal RNA". It matches the Rfam family "Bacterial small subunit ribosomal RNA", at positions 29 to 523 of the family's 1533-position model. The record is from RNAcentral.